GGGGGGGAGGGGACGCACAGGGACCAAGGGACAACAGGGACACCAGUAUCACCAGUAUCACCAGUAUCACCAGUAUCACCAGUCCCAGUGUCACCAGUAUCACCAGUAUCACCAGUCCCAGUGUCCCCAGUGUCCCCAGUCCCAGUGUCCCAAGUCCCAGUAUCACCAGUGACACCAGUCCCAGUGUCACCAGUAUCACCAGUGUCCCCAAUCCCAGUAUCACCAGUGACACCAGUGUCCCCAGUCCCAGUGUCACCGGUGUCACCAGUGACACCAGUGACACCAGUCCCGGUGUCCCCAGUAUCCCCAGUGUCACCAGUGUCACCAGUGUCCCCAGUCCCAGUGUCCCCAGUCCACCCAGUCCCAGUCCCCCCAGUCCCAGUGUCCCCAGUGUCACCAGUAUCCCCAGUGUCCCCAGUCCCAGUGUCACCAGUGACACCAGUGACACCAGUGACACCAGUAUCACCAGUCCCAGUGUCCCCAGUCCCAGUGUCACCAGUGUCCCCAGUGUCCCCAGUGUCCCCAGUCCCAGUGUCCCCAGUCCCAGUGUCACCAGUGACACCAGUCCCAGUGUCCCCAGUCCCAGUGUCCCCAGUGUCCCCAGUGUCCCCAGUCCCAGUGUCACCAGUAUCACCAGUGUCCCCAGUGUCCCCAGUCCCAGUGUCACCAGUAACACCAGUGACACCAGUCCCAGUCCCCCCAGUCCCAGUGUCCCCAGUGUCCCCCAGUCCCAGUGUCCCCAGUAUCACCAGUCCCAGUGUCCCCAGUCCCAGUGUCCGCAGUCCCAGUAUCACCAGUGUCCCCAGUCCCAGUAUCCCCAGUCCCAGUAUCACCAGUGACACCAGUCCCAGUGUCCCCAGUGUCACCAGUAUCCCCAGUGUCCCCAGUGUCCCCAGUCCCAGUGUCACCAGUGUCCCCAGUCCCAGUAUCCCCAGUUCCAUCCCAGUAUCCCCAGUUCCAUCCCAGUUCCAUCCCAGUUCCCUCCCAGUUCCUUCCCAGUUCCGUCCCAGUUCCAUCCCAGUUCCCUCCCAGUAUCCCCAGUUCCAUCCCAGUUCCAUCCCAGUUCCCUCCCAGUAUCCCCAGUUCCAUCCCAGUUCCCUCCCAGUAUCCCCAGUUCUCUCCCAGUAUCCCCAGUUCCGUCCCAGUUCCAUCCCAGUUCCAUCCCAGUAUCCCCAGUUCCCUCCCAGUAUCCCCAGUUCCAUCCCAGUUUCACCAGUUCCAUCCCAGUUCCA
This 1232-nucleotide long non-coding RNA is filed under the name Numida meleagris (helmeted guineafowl). RNAcentral's name for it is "lncRNA (ENSNMEG00000004130.1)". The record is from RNAcentral. Lineage: Eukaryota; Metazoa; Chordata; Aves; Galliformes; Numididae.